UUCGCAAUGCCCGAAAGGGUGACGAAGCGACGCCGCGUGUGGGAAGAAGGCCUUCGGGUUGUAAACCACUGUCGGGAGUUAAGAAAUGCAAGGAUAUUAAUAGUGUCUUUGUUUGACUAAGGCUCCGGAGGAAGCCACGGCUAACUCUGUGCCAGCAGCCGCGGUAAUACAGAGGCGGCAAGCGUUGUUCGGAAUUAUUGGGCGUAAAGAGCACGUAGGCGGCUAUGUAAGUCGGUUGUGAAAGCCUUCCGCUCAACGGAAGAACAGCAUCCGAUACUACAUGGCUUGAGUGCGGGAGGGGAGAGUGGAACUUCUGGUGGAGCGGUGAAAUGCGUAGAUAUCAGAAGGAACGCCGGCGGCGAAAGCGGCUCUCUGGCCCAUAACUGACGCUGAGUGUGCGAAAGCUAGGGGAGCAAACGGGAUUAGAUACCCCGGUAAUCCUAGCCGUAAACGAUGGGCACUAAGUAGAGGGGUUUU
RNAcentral lists this ribosomal RNA (477 nucleotides) under uncultured bacterium. RNAcentral describes it as "bacterial SSU rRNA". It matches the Rfam family "Bacterial small subunit ribosomal RNA", at positions 365 to 832 of the family's 1533-position model. The record is from RNAcentral.